This 923-nucleotide ribosomal RNA is filed under the name uncultured fungus. RNAcentral's name for it is "SSU rRNA". It matches the Rfam family "Eukaryotic small subunit ribosomal RNA", at positions 749 to 1677 of the family's 1831-position model. Lineage: Eukaryota; Fungi. The record is from RNAcentral.
AUUUAACUUUGGAGAAAAAAUUAGAGAUGGUUUCAAAAGCCAGGCCCUUUGCUUCCGAUACCAUUAGCAUGGCAUAAUAGGAAUAGGACGGUGUGGUUCUCAUUUGUUGGUUCUAGGACCGCCGUAAUGAUUAUAGGGAUAGUCGGGGGCAUCAGUAUUCCAAUCGUCAGAGGUGAAUUCUUGGAUUGAUUGAAGACUAACUACUGCGAAGGCAUUUGCCAAGGAUGUUUUCCAUUAAUCAGUGAACGAAAGUUAAGGGGAUCGAAGACCGAUCAGAUACCGUCGUAGUCUUAACCCAUAAACUAUGCCGACUAGGGAUCGGACGGUGUUAGUAUUUUGACCCGUUCCGGCACCUUACGAGAAAUCAAAGUUUUUGGGCUUCUGGGGGGAGUAUGGUCGCAAGGCUGAAACCUAAAGAAAUUGACGGAAAGGGCACCCCCAGGCGUGGAGCCUGCGGCUUAAUUUGACUCAACACGGGGAAACUCACCAGGUCCAGACACAAUAAGGAUUGACAGAUUGAGAGCUCUUUCUUGAUUUUGUGGGUGGUGGUGCAUGGCCGUUCUUAGUUGGUGGAGUGAUUUGUCUGCUUAAUUGCGAUAACGAACGAGACCUUAACCUGCUAAAUAGCCAGGCCCGCUUUGGCGGGUCGCCGGCUUCUUAGAGGGACUAUCGGCUCAAGCCGAUGGAAGUUUGAGGCAAUAACAGGUCUGUGAUGCCCUUAGAUGUUCUGGGCCGCACGCGCGCUACACUGACAGAGCCAACGAGUUCAUUUCCUUAGCCGAAAGGUUUGGGUAAUCUUGUUAAACUCUGUCGUGUUGGGGAUAGAGCAUUGCAAUUAUUGCUCUUCAACGAGGAAUGCCUAGUAAGCGCAUGUCAUCAGCAUGCGUUGAUUACGUCCCUGCCCUUUGUACUCACCGCCCGUC